RNAcentral lists this unclassified non-coding RNA (212 nucleotides) under fungal sp. RNAcentral describes it as "partial internal transcribed spacer region". The stretch from base 1 to 46 matches the Rfam family "Eukaryotic small subunit ribosomal RNA", at positions 1786 to 1831 of the family's 1831-position model. The record is from RNAcentral. Lineage: Eukaryota; Fungi.
AAGUCGUAACAAGGUCUCCGUAGGUGAACCUGCGGAGGGAUCAUUACUGAGUUACACUCAAACCCUGUUUAAGAAUCUGUUGCUUCGGAGGCGCCCCUCGGGAGGGGAUUUGCUUCGGCCGCCUCCAAAAGCACCUUUACUCUUUAACUUUGAUUUAUCUGUCCUCAAAAAAAAAAGAAAUUAAAACCUCAACAACGGAUCUCUUGGUUACA